GAGUUUGAUCAUGGCUCAGGAUGAACGCUGGCGGCAUGCCUAAUACAUGCAAGUCGAACGAAGUCUUUAGGAAGCUUGCUUCCAAAGAGACUUAGUGGCGAACGGGUGAGUAACACGUAGGUAACCUGCCCAUGUGCCCGGGAUAACUGCUGGAAACGGUAGCUAAAACCGGAUAGGUAUGAGGGAGGCAUCUUCCUCAUAUUAAAGCACCUUCGGGUGUGAACAUGGAUGGACCUGCGGCGCAUUAGCUGGUUGGUGAGGUAACGGCCCACCAAGGCGAUGAUGCGUAGCCGACCUGAGAGGGUGAACGGCCACAUUGGGACUGAGACACGGCCCAAACUCCUACGGGAGGCAGCAGUAGGGAAUAUUGCACAAUGGGGGAAACCCUGAUGCAGCGACGCCGCGUGGAGGAAGAAGGUCUUCGGAUUGUAAACUCCUGUUGUUGAGGAAGAUAAUGACGGUACUCAACAAGGAAGUGACGGCUAACUACGUGCCAGCCG
RNAcentral lists this ribosomal RNA (500 nucleotides) under uncultured bacterium. Its description in RNAcentral is "bacterial SSU rRNA". It matches the Rfam family "Bacterial small subunit ribosomal RNA", at positions 9 to 514 of the family's 1533-position model. The record is from RNAcentral.